This 1724-nucleotide long non-coding RNA is filed under the name Ictidomys tridecemlineatus (thirteen-lined ground squirrel). RNAcentral describes it as "lncRNA (ENSSTOG00000033020.1)". Lineage: Eukaryota; Metazoa; Chordata; Mammalia; Rodentia; Sciuridae. The record is from RNAcentral.
AUUUCCUCCCCUCCCCCUCCUCCUCCCUUCAACCAACCAGCCUCCCGUCAGAGAGGGGCAUGCGCAGUGAGUGCCUCCCGUCUCUUCUACCCGAACCCCCCUCCCCCCCCAAGCAGAGAGACCCCAGCAGCAGCAGCAGCUGAUGAUGAAGAGAGAGGCAGUGGCAGAGGGGGGGCACCUUUUAUUUCUAUUUUUAAAGGGACAGGACACUAAUUUUACCCCACUUCAACCUUGAAUUGAGGGGGGUGGGGGGAAGGCGGCUGAGUUCCUUCCCCCACCCUCCAGCCUGGAGCCCUGAGAGGGGGAUUGAGCCUGAGAGAGAAGGAGAAGGAGUUUCUUCCUCUUCGAAAACCUCCAUCCACGACUCCUACCCCCUCACCCCUCCACUCGCUUCCCUCCGGAGCCCCCUCCACCCUCCUUCUCUUUGGCCGUGAGAGGAGGAGAGAAAGAGACCAAAAGCCUCUUAGCAACACAGACCCUUUGCUGUUGCUGCUGCUGCUGCUGUGGCUGCUGCUGUUGCUACUGCUGCUACUGCUGCUUGGCCCUGGCUGGAGACAUCUCACUACACCCAGGAGCAGCCACUUCCCCAGCUCUCCUCCUCCUCCUUCGCCUCCUCCUCCUCCACUCCCCCCCUUUAUUACCCUUUGUGUCAUCCUCCACAGCUCCAGGGAAGGCACUCAAAAGUGGGGGGCAGGAAAGAUGAUCCUUGGAGAUGUCAUUUUCUGCAUAUAUGAAAUAGAUCUUGAAGGGCUUAUGGUUUACAGACAAAAUGUUUAGAAGUUAGACACUCAAGGACCAAGAAAAUAAAUUCCAGAAACCAGGAGCACAGAAUAUUUUUCUUCAUCAAUCCAUAGAACUCUGAUACUUCUCUAAUUCCAUCAAACACAGGAAUGACCACCUUGGCAGAUGGCCGCAGAGGAUGUCAACAAUUUUUUGGAGGCAAGCAAUGAACUAUUUGUGCCAUUGAUUUUCUGUUAUUAAUUAAAUGAGAACAAGUAGAAUUGCCUUGUGUUUUAAUGGGGAAAAAGUUGUCUUUAUCAUAGAAUUUUAUAUAAGCAUAGCUAUUUCUUCGUUUUUUUCUUUUUCUUUUUUUCUGUUUAGAACUGUUGCAUGUCACAAAUUCUAUUAAGAUGUGUUUUCCCUUACCUGCAGUAUUAUACAGAAUAAGGCAUCAUUAAAUUCCUAAGUACAAAAUUCAGAUUUAAAUAACAGAAGUUAUUUGAAAAGAGGGCUCUUUGUAUCUACCUUGGAUAUAUAUAUAUCAUGUAACUGCAAGCACUAAAUAUAUUUGGAGAUUAAUUUCAACUUACUUUAGAAUUAUCCCGGUCAUUUGUGAAUUUUUUUCUUUUUAGUUUAAAUAAUUCUGCAUCUUUUCCUCCCUUAUAUUUAUUCUAAAGUGAUUCAAAAUCUUGGGAAGCCAUCCCUCUAUGUCCCUCACAGAUUUAUAUUUGUAAGAAUUCUGCAUUAAAAGAUUUCACUGACCUUUUAUUUAAUUUCAUGGCAGCCACUAUUGCUUCUGAAAGAGUAGUUGGGCAAGGAUUAUGGACCACAAUGCCAUCAUCAAAAUUGAAAUUAAUUACAUUACCCUUUAAAGGAAAAAUUUGCUUAGAAAGAAAUUGACCAUGCUUAAGAGGAAAAAAAAAUGUGUGUGUGUGUGUGUAAUCUGCAAUCUCCAUAUUCAUAAAAAAUAGACAUAAGUAGCUGAGGAUAAAAUGAAAUAAAAU